AUUGAACGCUGGCGGCAGGCCUAACACAUGCAAGUCGAACGAGUGGCGGACGGGUGAGUAAUGUCUGGGAAACUGCCUGAUGGAGGGGGAUAACUACUGGAAACGGUAGCUAAUACCGCAUACCCUCAGAUGUGCCCAGAUGGGAUUAGCUUGUUGGUGGGGUACAGGCUCACCCAGGCGACGAUCCCUAGCUGGUCUGAGAGGAUGAACGGCCACACUAGAACGUAUACACGGGCCAGCCUCCUAGGGGAGGCAGCAGUGGGGAAUAUUGCACAAUGGGCGCAAGCCUGAUGCAGCCAUGCCGCGUGUAUGAAGAAGGCCUUCGGGUUGUAAAGUACUUUCAGCGGGGAGGCGUUACCCGCAGAAGAAGCACCGGCUAACUCCGUGCCAGCAGCCGCGGUAAUUC
Molecule: ribosomal RNA, 406 nt
Filed under: uncultured bacterium
Lineage: Bacteria
Description: partial 16S ribosomal RNA
Rfam family: Bacterial small subunit ribosomal RNA
Source: RNAcentral